CCAAUAGCGUAUAUUAAAGUUGCUGCAGUUAAAAAGCUCGUAGUUGAAUUUCGGGACCAAUAUGUCGGUCGUGCUUCGGUACGUACUGUCAUAAUUGGUUUCUCCCUUCUGAAGAACCUUGAUGUCAUUAAUUUGGUGUCUUGGGGAAUCAGGACUGUUACUUUGAAAAAAUUAGAGUGUUUAAAGCAGGCUCGCGCUUGAAUACAUUAGCAUGGAAUAAUGAAAUAGGACGUUUGAUUCUAUUUUGUUGGUUUCUAGGAUCGACGUAAUGAUUAAUAGGGAUAGUUGGGGGCAUUAGUA
RNAcentral lists this ribosomal RNA (300 nucleotides) under Glomus sp. RNAcentral describes it as "SSU rRNA". It matches the Rfam family "Eukaryotic small subunit ribosomal RNA", at positions 591 to 896 of the family's 1831-position model. Lineage: Eukaryota; Fungi; Glomeromycota; Glomeromycetes; Glomerales; Glomeraceae. The record is from RNAcentral.